GAAUUUUGGGCAAUGGGCGAAAGCCUGACCCAGCAACGCCGCGUGAAGGAUGAAAUCCCUCGGGAUGUAAACUUCGCAAGAACGGGAAGAAUAAGUUGGUGCUAAUACCACAAGCGAUGACGGUACUGUUUGUAAGCUCCGGCUAACUCCGGGCCAGCAGCCGCGGUAAUACGGGGGGAGCAAGCGUUGUUCGGAUUUACGGGGCGUAAAGGGCGCGUAGGCGGCCUCCGCAAGUCAGUUGUGAAAUCUCCGGGCUUAACUCGGAAAGGUCAACUGAUACUGCGGGGCUAGAGUGCGGAAGGGGCAACUGGAAUUCUUGGUGUAGCGGUGAAAUGCGUAGAUAUCAAGAGGAACACCUGCGGCGAAGGCGGGUUGCUGGGCCGACCCUGACGCUGAGGCGCGAAAGCCAGGGGAGCAAACGGG
This 423-nucleotide ribosomal RNA is filed under the name uncultured bacterium. RNAcentral's name for it is "bacterial SSU rRNA". It matches the Rfam family "Bacterial small subunit ribosomal RNA", at positions 359 to 776 of the family's 1533-position model. The record is from RNAcentral.